Molecule: ribosomal RNA, 594 nt
Filed under: Triticum aestivum (bread wheat)
Lineage: Eukaryota; Viridiplantae; Streptophyta; Magnoliopsida; Poales; Poaceae
Description: partial small subunit ribosomal RNA
Source: RNAcentral
AUGGCUGCGGACGGCGAGAGGUGGGUGGGCCUGGCGGUGGACUUCUCGGAGGGGAGCCGCGCGGCGCUGCAGUGGGCGGCGGACAACCUGCUCCGCGCCGGCGACAACCUGCUCCUCCUGCACGUCCUCAAGGACCCCGACUACGAGCAGGGCGAGACCCUCCUCUGGGAGGCCUCCGGCUCCCCUUUGAUCCCCCUCUCGGAGUUCUCUCACCCUUCAACUGCAAAGAAAUAUGGGGUGAAGCCUGAUGCUGAAACACUUGACAUGCUCAACACCAUAGCUAAGCAGAAGGAGGUUGCUGUGGUUUCCAAAGUCCUGUUUGGAGAUCCCCGCGAGAAGCUGUGCCAAGCCAUCCAUGACAUGCCCAUCAGCUGCCUGGUCAUUGGGAGCAGGGGCCUUGGCAAGCUCAAGAGGUUGCGACCACCGACCAAAUUGACCUCCAAACUCUUCUUCAGCCACAUUGUGUGUUUGUUUCAUCAUAAUAGAGUGCUGAUCUUUUGCAUCUCUGAACUGCAGGGUGCUCUUGGGCAGCGUCAGCGAUUACGUCGUGAACAACGCCGCCUGCCCGGUCACCGUUGUCAAGCCAGCGAGUAA